Molecule: long non-coding RNA, 1132 nt
Organism: Harmonia axyridis
Lineage: Eukaryota; Metazoa; Arthropoda; Insecta; Coleoptera; Coccinellidae
Exons: 3
Source: RefSeq, a predicted model, not a curated record
UUGGAUAUUUGCCGCCUGGAAUUUCCAACCUUUUUGAUGAUAUUCAAUAGAUGUAACUAUAUCCGGAAUCCACAAGUUUACUUGCAACUAUUGCCUUAUGGUUUAUAUUGGACAAACAAGAAAAUCUUUCACUACGAGGAAACAUGAAAACCGAAGGAGUUGUAAGACCAUUCCAAGGAAUAUUUUGAUUGAUGAAUGAUACAUUCCUGUAUCGAUGUAUGUCCUGUCGCAAUUUUCCUGCGCACUAUGUCUCUGUCACCGGGAUGCUGGCCAUUUUUCUGGACCGAAUUUAUUACUGGCCACGACAAUGAACUACAGCCCGGCUGUAUUUUAUCCUAUUGGACCGAUUACCAGAAGCGGGGAUCGAAUAGAAAUAAUCGAAUACUUUCGCUUCUAGAAAAUCUUAUUCAUAUUUCGGAAGUAAUGGAACAAUCAUCGACGUCGCUGAUGAGUUGAACAGCAAUUUCAAACAUUGAACGAUACUAUGGAUCAUUAGGCGGAUGCUAUCUGUAUUUUCGAAUCCUUUUCAAUCUUCCCCAACACUCUCAAAUGGCCAUCAAUCGCUUCAGUGGCUACGAACACAGCAUGUUCAUAAUUAGGGCUGAUAUUGGAAGAUCCACUGAGCCAAAUGCAAGACCCUCACUACGCCAAUCAAAUCCAAUUCGGAAAAGUAGAAUUGGAAGGUGGAAUAUAAUCCAUUUUCAUGGGAUAAUCACCGAUAAUUAUUAUUCAAUCUCUCAUUGCUAUGGAUUCAUCAAGCCAAGUAGCUUGACAUUUUUAACAAACUAAUUGACUUGAAAAUCAAGAUCGUGAAAAAUUACAUACUUGAGCUUGACUUGACUUGAUUUUAGAUAUUGAUUGCUUGACUUGAUAUCAAGCUACUUGAUAUUAAUUGAGCUUGAUAUGAUCGCGUCGCUCGGCAUAUAUUUCUGCAAUCUCGUGCGCGCUUAGACUAAAUAAGGGGAUUCCUCGAGCACCGAGAAAGUGAAGCAUUCGAUAGAGUGGCUUUAGUAGUAGUUUUCUCAUAUUUCUAUGAAAUAUAUUAGUAGAUUUUGGUAGUUUCAGAAAUAUCCUUCCAAACUUGGCCAAAAUGGCCAAGGAUUUUUCAUCAACGACAGCAUCUUCAGCUCCU